Molecule: long non-coding RNA, 2424 nt
Organism: Athalia rosae (coleseed sawfly)
Lineage: Eukaryota; Metazoa; Arthropoda; Insecta; Hymenoptera; Athaliidae
Exons: 2
Source: RefSeq, a predicted model, not a curated record
AUAAUCCCAACUAUAAGAUUCAUCACGUAUACCGACCACCGUUCCAUUAUAUUGGAUUACUUUUUACACACACCCGUUCAACGAUCACUGUUCUAUAAGAAAAAUUUCAACUAGAGGGAAUUAUUUUACCCGACGAUUCGCUGUAGGUCCACGGUCAUUUCUCGAAACAUCGUCGAAACACGUCGAGAAGACGAUACGAAUUUCAAUGAAGAAAAUGAAAUGCGAUUAAAAAUUUUCGGUCCCUAUUUCUCUCCGUGUUAAACUACGCGUAGAUCUUCCGAAGAAAAUUUGUCUAUUCGGAGGGAAAUAUGUCGAGAUUCCCCAUGCGUAUAUCUCCGUGUAUACAGGGUGACACAGCUUUGUGAGGAAUAAUAAUGAAAGUAAAAAGGAUUCCCGUAUUCUCAGCUUCGGGACUCGACUCCCCUGUUAUAUAUAGGCAUCCCUUUGUAGUCCCGAGGUGAUAAUUUUUAAUCAGUACCUCGUACCUACUGUACCGUAUAAAACGCGUACCUAAACGACGCGUCCCGCGCAACAGAGGAGGUUUUGAAUAUAUAUCCAGAGCGUUAAAAUAUAAGAAGAAAGCAUUAUUGUUGUUAUUAUUACAUCAACGAACAGCAUAGAGGGAUAAAAUAGGGAAAAUGUGAUCUAGAUUUAUUUGAGAACUCUUGAGGGAAAAAAUAGCGGAAACGAAGUAGUCGAAGGAGGAGAAGAAAAGAGAAGAAAAAAAUAGAAAUAAAAAAAUAACGAAGAAAGAAGCUGAUGAAAUUGGAUCUAUGGACACGCAUAAUUCUUCGGUAAGUUAAUACGCGGCGCGGUGUCGUUCGCGACGCCUGGUCAGGGGCUAAUUAAUAUCGUUAAUCGAGGUAUACUCGAGAGGUCCUGAAGUCAGGCGAAUGACGUGGCGCAAAACUCGUCGUUAAUGGAGAUUAGAGUCAGGUAGACCGUGAGCGAGAGAACGACGAAACGAAGAACGAUCGAGAAAUUUUAGCGAUCGAUACGAACGACUCGCGAUCAUCGAGUCAAGGGUGAAAGGAGAGAAGAUCGUGCGGGAAAAUCGUUCUUCCACCGUCGGAAAAAUUUUCUCCUUCGCCACGCUACCGAUGAUUCGAAGAUCGAGAGGAGAAAGGGAGAAUAGGUGCGUUCGAAGACCUCCGUAUUUUCGAUGAUUCGGACUUUCUUUCAUUCGACUCGAGUCUUUUACUACGAAACUUUAUAUCCACCACACGCUGGACGGCGUGGGUGGGUACGUAUAAUAUGGGUGCGAGGUGGACCACACGUGUAAAAGUUUUGUGUAUAUAAAAGGGUGGGCGGUUGUUCAGGAAUUGCGGGGUAAAGAGGGGUGACGCGCAUUCCGAUGACUUCCAUUCAAACGCGGCCAUGCUCUAAGGAGAAUUAAACGCGUUGUCCGACACGUUUUCCUCCCUAUGCGUAUAAUAAUAACAACAACACCGCCAACAACAAUAACUCGCUCCCGCGGAAGAGGGAAGGGAAGGGGUAAGACAAGGCGAUCCGGAAUUGAUCGUAUGGUAAUUUAUCCGUUUCUGGAUCGUGGAUGAGUAAAAAAAAAAAGUGAAUGAAAAAAAAUCUUACGCUCCGGUAGAAUGAGGAGGAGAAGAGGAAUGCGAACGGAGAGAAGAAACGGAUUUAGAAAAAAACUUUAAUGUCCACAUAUCCAGGAAUUAGGGAUUGAUUAUUAGCCUUUUCCUACAGGAUAACGAGUCGAAUUCUUUGAUUGACUGGCUCGGGGUGCCGCAUACCGUCGUCUGGAUCCUCAAAGAAGCGGAUGAAUCUUUAACGUAUAACCGCGUGAAGGAUGAAGGAAGAAAGAGAGAGAUUGAGAAAUAAAAAGAGAGGGAACCGAGCGAGUUGCUCGAGGGAUCAGCGGGAAUAAGAAGAAGGAAAGUCGAAGGUAUAAAAGGAAUUGUUUGCGUAUGCGGAGGAAUCUAGCUGUACAACUCGGGAUGCGGAUUUUAAGGAGGAGGAAGAGGAGGAGGAGGAGGAGGAGGAGGAGGAUGAGGAGGAAGAGGAGGAGAGCUCCGAUCUGAACCGGAUCGUUCCGUUGACCCGACAACAACAACUGUAUAACGCGUUGACUUUAUCGCCUCCAGUGGGAUAGGAGGAGGCGGUGAUCGACCGCUGUAGCAGUCCGCUUUUGUUGAAGAAAUCCUGCAGCCUGGUUUUAAGCUUGUAGCCUCGAUAACGAGCUCCUCGGGUAUACGAUAUGCUUCGUGCAAUUCUGCUAUAUUUCGUGGAUCGAAUAAACUUUAUUUCGAAGCGUCGCCUACUUCGUUCCUGAAUUAUGUCAGUGACUCGCUUCGGAACAACGCCCGUUCCGGGCUACCUAUACGCCUCGUCAAAAUAUCCCACUCCGUUCAUCGAACGCGAUGCAGAAUUGAAUGAAAAAAAAAAAAAAAAAAACCAAAA